Erigeron canadensis is the source of this 85-nucleotide small nucleolar RNA. RefSeq annotates it as small nucleolar RNA R44/J54/Z268 family. The transcript has a single exon. Lineage: Eukaryota; Viridiplantae; Streptophyta; Magnoliopsida; Asterales; Asteraceae. The record is from RefSeq and is a predicted model, not a curated record.
GUUACAAAUGAUGAUAGAUCAGACAGGGACAUCUGCAUUCCAUUGGAGUAUGAUGAUUUGUCUGUGGGAAUUGUUCUGAUGUGAA